AUUGAACGCUGGCGGUAUGCUUUACACAUGCAAGUCGGACGGCAGCGGGGGUGCUUGCACCUGCCGGCGAGUGGCGAACGGGUGAGUAACAUAUUGGAAUGUACCGAGUAGUGGGGGAUAACCAAUCGAAAGAUUGGCUAAUACCGCAUACGUCCUGAGGGGGAAAGCAGGGGAUUUGGACCUUGCGCUAUUUGAGCAGCCAAUAUUGAUUAGCUAGUUGGUGGGGUAAGGGCCCACCAAGGCGACGAUCAGUAGCGGGUCUGAGAGGAUGAUCCGCCACACUGGGACUGAGACACGGCCCAGACUCCUACGGGAGGCAGCAGUGGGGAAUUUUGGACAAUGGGGGCAACCCUGAUCCAGCCAUGCCGCGUGUCUGAAGAAGGCCUUCGGGUUGUAAAGGACUUUUGUUAGGGAAGAAAAGGAAA
Molecule: ribosomal RNA, 425 nt
Filed under: Kingella denitrificans
Lineage: Bacteria; Pseudomonadati; Pseudomonadota; Betaproteobacteria; Neisseriales; Neisseriaceae
Description: bacterial SSU rRNA
Rfam family: Bacterial small subunit ribosomal RNA
Source: RNAcentral